Molecule: ribosomal RNA, 916 nt
Filed under: uncultured archaeon
Lineage: Archaea
Description: SSU rRNA
Rfam family: Archaeal small subunit ribosomal RNA
Source: RNAcentral
UUUCCGGUUGAUCCUGCCGGACCUGACUGCUAUCGGAUUGAUACUAAGCCAUGCGAGUCUUUGUAGUAAUACAAGGCAUACGGCUCAGUAACGCGUAGUCAACCUACCCUAUGGACAAGAAUAAUCUCGGGAAACUGAGCAUAAUUCUUGAUAGAUCAUAAUGCCUGGAAUGGUUUAUGGUUAAAAUGAUUCGUCGCCAUAGGAUGGGACUGCGGCCUAUCAGCUUGUUGGUGAGGUAAUGGCCCACCAAGGCGAUUACAGGUACGGGCUCUGAGAGGAGAAGCCCGGAGAUGGGUACUGAGACAAGGACCCAGGCCCUAUGGGGCGCAGCAGGCGAGAAAACUUUGCAAUGUGCGAAAGCACGACAAGGUUAGUCCGAGUGAUUUCUGCUAAAGAGAUCUUUUGCUAGUUAUAAAACCACUAGUGAAUAAGGGGUGGGCAAGUUCUGGUGUCAGCCGCCGCGGUAAAACCAGCACCUCAAGUGGUCAGGAUGAUUAUUGGGCCUAAAGCAUCCGUAGCCGGCUCUGUAAGUUUUCGGUUAAAUCUAUGCGCUCAACGUAUGGGCUGCCGAAAAUACUGUAGAGAUAGGGAGUGGGAGAGGUAGACGGUACUCGGUAGGAAGGGGUAAAAUCCUUUGAUCUAUCGAUGACCACCUGUGGCGAAGGCGGUCUACCAGAACACGUUCGACGGUGAGGGAUGAAAGCUGGGGGAGCAAACCGGAUUAGAUACCCGGGUAGUCCCAGCUGUAAACGAUGCAGACUCGAUGAUGCAUUGGCAUAUAGCCAGUGCAGUGUCGCAGGGAAGCCGUUAAGUCUGCCGCCUGGGAAGUACGUACGCAAGUAUGAAACUUAAAGGAAUUGGCGGGGGAGCACCACAAGGGGUGAAGCCUGCGGUUCAAUUGGAGUCAACGCCGGAA